This 433-nucleotide ribosomal RNA is filed under the name uncultured bacterium. RNAcentral's name for it is "partial 16S ribosomal RNA". It matches the Rfam family "Bacterial small subunit ribosomal RNA", at positions 29 to 507 of the family's 1533-position model. The record is from RNAcentral.
AGCGAACGCUGGCGGCAGGCCUAACACAUGCGAGUCGAACGAACUCUUCGGAGUUAGUGGCGGACGGGUGAGUAACACGUGGGAACGUGCCUUUAGGUUCGGAAUAACUCAGGGAAACUUGUGCUAAUACCGAAUGUGCCCUUCGGGGGAAAGAUUUAUCGCCUUUAGAGCGGCCCGCGUCUGAUUAGCUAGUUGGUGAGGUAAAGGCUCACCAAGGCGACGAUCAGUAGCUGGUCUGAGAGGAUGAUCAGCCACAGUGGGACUGAGACACGGCCCAAACUCCUACGGGAGGCAGCAGUGGGGAAUCUUGCGCAAUGGGCGAAAGCCUGACGCAGCCAUGCCGCGUGAAUGAUGAAGGUCUUAGGAUUGUAAAAUUCUUUCACCGGGGACGAUAAUGACGGUACCCGGAGAAGAAGCCCCGGCUAACUUCGUG